RNAcentral lists this ribosomal RNA (442 nucleotides) under uncultured bacterium. RNAcentral describes it as "partial 16S ribosomal RNA". It matches the Rfam family "Bacterial small subunit ribosomal RNA", at positions 338 to 795 of the family's 1533-position model. The record is from RNAcentral.
CCUACGGGCGGCAGCAGUAGGGAAUCUUUCACAAUGGGCGAAAGCCUGAUGGAGCAACGCCGCGUGCAGGAUGAAGGCCCUCGGGUUGUAAACUGCUUUUAUAAGCGAGAAAUAUGAUGGUAACUUAUGAAUAAGGAUCGGCUAACUACGUGCCAGCAGCCGCGGUCAUACGUAGGAUCCGAGCAUUAUCCGGAGUGACUGGGUGUAAAGAGUUGCGUAGGUGGCAUAAUAAGUAGCUAGUGAAAUCUGGUGGCUCAACCAUUCAGACUAUUAGCUAAACUGUUAAGCUCGAGACCGUUAGGGGUAACUGGAAUUUCUAGUGUAGGAGUGAAAUCCGUAGAUAUUAGAAAGAACACCAAUAGCGUAGGCAGGUUGCUGGGACGGUUCUGACACUAAGGCACGAAAGCGUAGGGAGCAAACGGGAUUAGAUACCCCAGUAGUC